Enterococcus cecorum is the source of this 106-nucleotide regulatory RNA element. It matches the Rfam family "23S methyl RNA motif". The record is from Rfam. NCBI's taxonomy places the organism in Bacteria, Bacillati, Bacillota, Bacilli, Lactobacillales, Enterococcaceae.
UUUUCAUUGGUUUUUAUCAGUAUCCUGUUCUGAUAAAAGUUAGUGAAAAAUACUUCACUAACGUAGCCUCUCGCAGUGCCAGACACCGAGUGGGUUACGUUUUUUU